RNAcentral lists this transfer RNA (67 nucleotides) under Nothobranchius foerschi. RNAcentral describes it as "tRNA-Gln". It matches the Rfam family "tRNA". Rfam says of the family: Transfer RNA (tRNA) molecules are approximately 80 nucleotides in length. Their secondary structure includes four short double-helical elements and three loops (D, anti-codon, and T loops). Further hydrogen bonds mediate the characteristic L-shaped molecular structure. tRNAs have two regions of fundamental functional importance: the anti-codon, which is responsible for specific mRNA codon recognition, and the 3' end, to which the tRNAs corresponding amino acid is attached (by aminoacyl-tRNA synthetases). tRNAs cope with the degeneracy of the genetic code in two manners: having more than one tRNA (with a specific anti-codon) for a particular amino acid; and 'wobble' base-pairing, i.e. permitting non-standard base-pairing at the 3rd anti-codon position. The record is from RNAcentral. Lineage: Eukaryota; Metazoa; Chordata; Actinopteri; Cyprinodontiformes; Nothobranchiidae.
GUUCUUGUAGUUGAGUUUAAUAGUAGUUUUUGAACUGAUAGUCUUGGUUAAAAUCCAAGUAAGAAUU